CCGGUUUGGUAAUUGACUAGUCUGUUUAUGCAGCAGAGGAAUCGCUGCAGGAGUCCCAACUGCCAAGUAUAUCACAGCCUCUUGAAGUGGCUUCACGGUUCCUCAUAGAAGAGCCCCAGUAUUCUGACUCUGCAACAAAUAGCUAUCGGACAAAAGUCUUACAAAAGCUGCAAGAGAUUGUCGACAACCAGCAAGACAUCCUGGCCAU
Pimephales promelas (fathead minnow) is the source of this 208-nucleotide non-coding RNA. Lineage: Eukaryota; Metazoa; Chordata; Actinopteri; Cypriniformes; Leuciscidae. The record is from RefSeq and is a predicted model, not a curated record.